GCCUGGGUGGCUUAGUCGGUUGAGCGUCUGACUUCAGCUCAGGUCAUGAUUGUGAGUUCGAGCCCCACGUCGGGCU
Molecule: transfer RNA, 76 nt
Filed under: Felis catus (domestic cat)
Lineage: Eukaryota; Metazoa; Chordata; Mammalia; Carnivora; Felidae
Rfam family: tRNA
About the family: Transfer RNA (tRNA) molecules are approximately 80 nucleotides in length. Their secondary structure includes four short double-helical elements and three loops (D, anti-codon, and T loops).
Source: Rfam by way of RNAcentral